CACGGAGGGGGCUAGCGUUGUUCGGAAUUACUGGGCGUAAAGCGCACGUAGGCGGCUUUGUAAGUUAGAGGUGAAAGCCCAGGGCUUAACCCUGGAAUUGCCUUUAAGACUGCAUCGCUAGAAUCGUGGAGAGGUGAGUGGAAUUCCGCGUGUAGCAGUGAAAUGCGUAGAUAUGCGGAGGAACACCGAUGGCGAAGGCAAUCCCCUGGACCUGUACUGACGCUCAUGCACGAAAGCGUGGGGAGCAAACAGG
This 253-nucleotide ribosomal RNA is filed under the name uncultured bacterium. RNAcentral describes it as "partial 16S ribosomal RNA". It matches the Rfam family "Bacterial small subunit ribosomal RNA", at positions 524 to 776 of the family's 1533-position model. The record is from RNAcentral.